GGCUUCCUGUGCCUCGCGGUGCAAGUCACCUUGCUUGUGCUGCUCAGCGCGAGGCGACACCUGUAGGGCGCGUGGUUGCGACUUCCGCAACAGACUGGUGCCUUUAAAAAAAAAAAUCACAUGCGGAACAGCAAAUGGGCUUACAUCAUUUGCACUAAAGCAAGAGAUGCAGGAGGAUGCUGUUGCUGGAGAAAUGUGCAGACUGAAGAGGACGAAGGGAUGGCCUAAAAGAUUUCGUAUUCCAAGAUUGAAGGCUGACUGAAUUGACUUAACUCCCACUGUGGAUGGACU
Long non-coding RNA from Xiphophorus maculatus (southern platyfish), 291 nucleotides. RefSeq lists it as uncharacterized. Lineage: Eukaryota; Metazoa; Chordata; Actinopteri; Cyprinodontiformes; Poeciliidae. The transcript has 2 exons. The record is from RefSeq and is a predicted model, not a curated record.